GGAAUUGCACUUGAAUUCACUUUGCAAUUCACAUCAUAGCAUUAACUGAGCUUGAUAAACAAAACGCAAGAAACAUCAUCAAACAUUUUUAGAUCACAGUACAUGAACUACUUUUUCGGUAAAAAUAAUAUAUUAAAAUUCACGAACAUACCAAUUACACGCAACCUCUGCAUCAAUAAGAUGUCCGAAGACAUCAAGAAUGUAGCAGCAGUACAGGAACUACUAAAUCAUUUGAGUGUUUCUACUAAAGAUCACAGUACAGGAAGAUUCAGAUAUAGAAAGAAACAUGGGCAUUGGAUUUUCAUAUCUCAGUAAUCACAUAUCCAGACCAUGCCUCAACAAAUCAAUUGUUAUUUUAGGAAGACUUUCAGAUCUCACUACAAGAACUAUUAUUUCAAGAUAAUUCAGAGUUAACCAGAGACAUUUGAGAAAUUUGAUUCAUAUACAGAAAUAAGCAUGACACUGAUUCCAUUCGAGCAUUUCGACAAACACACAGCAGACUGCAUCUCCGAUAUCACACCUGAACCGCUACAGCGACAGAACUGACAAAAAGAACAGAAAUCCAUCAGUGCUUGGACCUCGGCGAGGUCCUCCUUGCCGCCGGCGCCUCCGCAGCCUUCCUCUUCGGUGAG
This 632-nucleotide long non-coding RNA is filed under the name Triticum aestivum (bread wheat). Its description in RNAcentral is "long non-coding RNA (TAES_LNC002436)". The record is from RNAcentral. Lineage: Eukaryota; Viridiplantae; Streptophyta; Magnoliopsida; Poales; Poaceae.